GGCUUGGUGGUCUAGUGGUACGAUACUCGCUUUGGGCUUCUUCUUCCAUGAGACAAACCAGCGAGUGGUCCCGGGUUCGAUCCCCGGUCAAGCCC
Non-coding RNA from Xylariaceae sp. FL0804, 95 nucleotides. Lineage: Eukaryota; Fungi; Ascomycota; Sordariomycetes; Xylariales; Xylariaceae. The record is from the annotation of a GenBank genome assembly.